Molecule: ribosomal RNA, 497 nt
Filed under: uncultured bacterium
Lineage: Bacteria
Description: partial 16S ribosomal RNA
Rfam family: Bacterial small subunit ribosomal RNA
Source: RNAcentral
GAUGAACGCUGGCGGCGUGCCUAAUACAUGCAAGUCGAGCGAACAGAUGAGGAGCUUGCUCCUCUGACGUUAGCGGCGGACGGGUGAGUAACACGUGGAUAACCUACUUAUAAGACUGGGAUAACUUCGGGAAACCGGAGCUAAUACCGGAUAAUAUAUUGAACCGCAUGGUUCAAUAGUGAAAGACGGUUUUGCUGUCACUUAUAGAUGGAUCCGCGCCGCAUUAGCUAGUUGGUAAGGUAACGGCUUACCAAGGCGACGAUGCGUAGCCGACCUGAGAGGAUGAUCGGCCACACUGGAACUGAGACACGGUCCAGACUCCUACGGGAGGCAGCAGUAGGGAAUCUUGCGCAAUGGGCGAAAGCCUGACGGAGCAACGCCGCGUGAGUGAUGAAGGUCUUCGGAUCGUAAAACUCUGUUAUUAGGGAAGAACAAAUGUGUAAGUAACUAUGCACGUCUUGACGGUACCUAAUCAGAAAGCCACGGCUAACUACGUG